GCAGCCAGGCCUGGGGGCUGUCGCUUAGAGCUUUCGCUUGAAUAGCUUCAGAAGAUGCUUCGCAAAUCCAGGACAGCCUGAUAUCGACGUCUCUUAGCAGUAAAACAAGGCCAGUCCACUGGCAGAGUGUUGGCAGUGCCUGGGAAAAGUAAAGGGCAGUAAGACAGGAGCGGAGUGUGAAGCCCCAUGGAAGGCAGAGUGACACAAGGGGGCAGUAUGGAUGCUGCUGUAUGACCCACCCUCAGCCUGGUCAGAAUCACCAGCAGCCUUAUUUAUGGGGGACAGUUCCCCUGUGAGUAACAGGUCUUCUGUCUGGAUUUAAGCACUGAGACUGGGCGGGGCAUCCCUCGCAUACGCUGGCUGCCUCAGGCCCCCCCGGCUGAAGGUUUUACUGCUAACAGCCUCUUUGGUUAUAUACAGGUAGGUCUGCAUUGCCUGAUCUCAGAGAGCGGUCUGCAUGGUACGCUAUGGGCAGAUGCCUUUUGUGGCCCGGGCAGCGAGCCAUGUCAGUGCCAGGACAGAGCCAUUGGAAUUAGAGUAACGUACGUGUGGUAAGGAGCUGGAAGCAGACCCUUGGUAAUGGAAAUGGAAUGGUAGGUCUGUGAUGAAAAUUAUACCAAGGUUAUGAAAUCGGGUUAGCUGUAUUGG
This is a long non-coding RNA of Paramormyrops kingsleyae, 648 nucleotides long. RefSeq lists it as uncharacterized. The record is from RefSeq and is a predicted model, not a curated record. NCBI's taxonomy places the organism in Eukaryota, Metazoa, Chordata, Actinopteri, Osteoglossiformes, Mormyridae.